Papaver somniferum (opium poppy) is the source of this 2212-nucleotide long non-coding RNA. RefSeq lists it as uncharacterized. The transcript has 4 exons. Lineage: Eukaryota; Viridiplantae; Streptophyta; Magnoliopsida; Ranunculales; Papaveraceae. The record is from RefSeq and is a predicted model, not a curated record.
CUAACAUUUUUUAUGGUGUUAAUGGUUAAAUUAGGAAAUGGGGUUUGCUAAUAGGUGUGUUCCAGAUUGUGGGAUUGUUUUGGAUUUUGAUUUAGGUGUAUUUGUGUACAGGAACUUCACAGAUUGAAUUUGAAGCUCGGAGAUCAGUUGGAUGGUGAAUCUCAGAGAUCAGUUGGAUGGUUUUGCGAUGAAUCUGAUCGUCGAUCCAAGAAGUGCAUGGUUCUAAGAGAUUAAUCAGGUUUGUAUUUUCAGUCUUUAAGAAGCAUUCAAAGUCAGGUAUUCUGACACAUAUAUUGGAAAUGUCAGAAAUAGGUUAAACUCCACAGUCAGGUAUUUAAUAAGGUCUUACUUUAUCAAGAUCCUGUUGGUGAUAGACAUGUAAGUUUCAAAGCUGAACUCAUCUUAUUCAAAUUUGUGUACGGUAGUUGGUUCCUUGCAGCUCAUCUUACAAAUCCAGUGGUUUUUCUAAAAAAGUCAUGUAUUGUUGCAGAUUGUUGGUACAUGACAUACCAGGAGACAACCCAAAUUCCAUUCCAUUAAUUUUUGUUUAUAUUGAUAAAUCGAUCCAUUUUCAAUAUAUUUUUGUUUGUUUUCGGUUUCAAUUAGUUAUUAUGAUUUGGUUUUUGCCCUAAUGCAUGGGGUAGAAAGGACAAUUAAUCACUACACUUUAAGCAUCAAGAACCUUAGACUGUACUGCAGCAAGAACGACUAAUGAAUAUGCAUGGGCAACCUUGAAGAUUAUAUCGAGCCAUUAAAGGUGUGCCUGAGUCGGUACCUGGAGAUAAAUUUUUAUUCCGCUUCCUUUUAAGCCAUAGAGUAUAGAAAUUGUAAAUUUUGUUGGCUUACUUCUGAUGUUUUUUUAUCUGGCAACGGCCUAUGUGUUUGAAUGAAUUGUGGAAAAUUAUCAUGCUGUUCUAUGAUAUUUCCUGUAUUUGUUGGUUCAAGUUUGAUUCAGCCCUAGGUUAUUCACCAAAACAGACUGGAGAGGCCCCGGUCUUUGCGGCCAUAAGGAAGAUUUUAACUGUGGAGGUUGAUUAUCAUAUUGUAAGGCAUUCCCUUAACGUAGAUCCAAAUGUUACUCAAAGCUUCAUCUUCAUGAAUUCCAUCUCCCGCUUCAGAAUUAUUCCGUGCAGCCACCAUCUCCUGCAUUAGAAUUGGUUGUUUUGCUCGCAGUAAAGUAUUGUUCCUUCUAUACAAGGUCUGGAUACUAACUAAUGAAGUGUCGAUAUAUGUAAUCUUUUUGUUUGUGUUAAUGAGCAUUCCAAUAUAUGAUUGUUUCAUGUUCUCUCCACAUUUAAUGCGUGGGAAGUCGAUACUGUGUUGUGCAGGUUGAAAGUCUGACGUAAAACAUGUCCAAGGUCUAGAUGAUAUUAACUGGAUGCAUGUCCGUUAUAAGUCGUUGAAAAACGCGCAACGUUAAGCAAUCAUUUGGAGGAUGCCAAGCUUCUAAUCUUAGUAGAAGCAAUCAUUUGGAGGAUGCCAAGCUUAUAGUUGUUGUGCCAUCUCUUACUAAUAUCCCUUACUUUGUUUGAAUUUUUAGUCGUUGAAAAACGCGCAACGUUAAGCAAUCAUUUGGAGGAUGCCAAGCUUCUAAUAUUUUGUGUAUCGAAUUUUCUUUUCUAUGUCCAUUUGCAGGUUUCCUAAAGCGCCCUUAUACUACCAAAUAUAUUGGUUGACUAUAUCUGUAUUUUAAAGUUUGUUAAAUGCUAUAAACUGUGCAUGUCUCACAAGUAGAGGAAUGUGUACCUGUGAUGAAAUACGUUUACUCAAAAAUGUCAUAGAUAGUGACUAUUAAGUGUUUCCUUCAGAGUCUUGAUAUUGCUAUUAGAGGGUUGAGGCUACAAAUGGGACGAACUGCUCCCUUUGCUACCCACACCGGCCUCAUUUUCAAACCCAUAUUUACACCUUCGGAGGCAAUAACAAUAUUCAAGGCAAGCUAAUUUUCACUAAAUUCGAAAGAGCAACAACCUCAGGGUGUUCUAUCAUACUGAAGAAGAAACAGAUUUUUCCAAGGCCAUUGGUAAAUAUGAUGGUAAAAUAAAUGGAACUUUACGAAUUCCAUCUGACAAAGCUAAAGCAGCACAUUUUUCCUGAAGUGGAUGUCCUUUUGUUCAAGGAAUUAUUUGCUGGAGUUGAUAGAUCUUUGACAACAGGUGUAUUGUUCGGAGUUGACAGAUAGCCUACUAAUUUUAUGAUAUCUCAGGUUUUCUCA